AGUGAACGCUGGCGGUAGGCCUAACACAUGCAAGUCGAACGGCAGCACAGUAAGAGCUUGCUCUUACGGGUGGCGAGUGGCGGACGGGUGAGGAAUACAUCGGAAUCUACUUUUUCGUGGGGGAUAACGUAGGGAAACUUACGCUAAUACCGCAUACGACCUACGGGUGAAAGCAGGGGAUCUUCGGACCUUGCGCGAUUGAAUGAGCCGAUGUCGGAUUAGCUAGUUGGCGGGGUAAAGGCCCACCAAGGCGACGAUCCGUAGCUGGUCUGAGAGAAUGAUCAGCUACACUGGAACUGAGACACGGUCCGGACUCCUACGGGAGGCAGCAGUGGGGAAUAUUGGACAAUGGGCGCAAGCCUGAUCCAGCCAUACCGCGUGGGUGAAGAAGGCCUUCGGGUUGUAAAGCCCUUUUGUUGGGAAAGAAAAGCAGCAGGUUAAUACCCCGCUGUUCUGACGGUACCCAAAGAAUAAGCACCGGCUAACUUCGUG
RNAcentral lists this ribosomal RNA (492 nucleotides) under uncultured bacterium. RNAcentral describes it as "partial 16S ribosomal RNA". It matches the Rfam family "Bacterial small subunit ribosomal RNA", at positions 29 to 507 of the family's 1533-position model. The record is from RNAcentral.